GCGUCUACAAGGAUGGAGGGGAGCUACUC
This 29-nucleotide non-coding RNA is filed under the name Homo sapiens (human). The record is from RNAcentral. Lineage: Eukaryota; Metazoa; Chordata; Mammalia; Primates; Hominidae.